UCUUCCCGCUGAGGAAAGUCCGGGCUUCACAGGGCAGGAUGCCGGAUAACGUCCGGUGGAGGUGACUCCCAGGAAAGUGCAGCAGAAAUGAAACCGCCGGUCCUCGGACCGGUAAGGGUGAAAUGGCGGUGUAAGAGACCACCGCCCGUCUGGUAACAGGCGGGGUCCGUGUAAACCCCAUCCGAAGCAAGACCAAAUUUGGAGCCAUACGGCGGCCCGUCGUGCUCCAUGGUAGGUUGCGUGAGGCGGCUGGCAACAGUCGUCCAAGAUAGAUGAUCAUCCAACGACAGAACCCGGCUUAUCGUACUGCUGA
RNAcentral lists this RNase P RNA (313 nucleotides) under uncultured Catonella sp. RNAcentral's name for it is "Bacterial RNase P class A". It matches the Rfam family "Bacterial RNase P class A", at positions 33 to 361 of the family's 367-position model. Rfam says of the family: Ribonuclease P (RNase P) is a ubiquitous endoribonuclease, found in archaea, bacteria and eukarya as well as chloroplasts and mitochondria. Its best characterised activity is the generation of mature 5'-ends of tRNAs by cleaving the 5'-leader elements of precursor-tRNAs. Cellular RNase Ps are ribonucleoproteins. The record is from RNAcentral. Lineage: Bacteria; Bacillati; Bacillota; Clostridia; Lachnospirales; Lachnospiraceae.